RNAcentral lists this ribosomal RNA (431 nucleotides) under uncultured bacterium. RNAcentral's name for it is "bacterial SSU rRNA". It matches the Rfam family "Bacterial small subunit ribosomal RNA", at positions 32 to 507 of the family's 1533-position model. The record is from RNAcentral.
GACGCCGGCGGCAGGCUUAACACAUGCAAGUCGAACGGUUGUAGCAAUACAGCAGUGGCGCACGGGUGAGUAACGCGUGGAUAUCUGCCUUUUGGUUCGGAAUAACUCCGGGAAACUGGAGCUAAUACCGGAUGGUUCCUACGGGAUAAAGAUUUAUCGCCAAAAGAUGAGUCCGCGUACGAUUAGCUAGUUGGUGAGGUAAUGGCUCACCAAGGCGACGAUCGUUAGCUGGUCUGAGAGGACGAUCAGCCACACUGGGACUGAGACACGGCCCAGACUCCUACGGGAGGCAGCAGUGGGGAAUAUUGGACAAUGGGGGCAACCCUGAUCCAGCCAUGCCGCGUGAGUGAUGAAGGCCUUCGGGUUGUAAAGCUCUUUUGGCGGGGACGAUGAUGACGGUACCCGCAGAAUAAGCCCCGGCUAACUUCGUG